Molecule: unclassified non-coding RNA, 147 nt
Organism: Pongo abelii (Sumatran orangutan)
Lineage: Eukaryota; Metazoa; Chordata; Mammalia; Primates; Hominidae
Rfam family: Metazoan signal recognition particle RNA
About the family: The signal recognition particle (SRP) is a universally conserved ribonucleoprotein. It is involved in the co-translational targeting of proteins to membranes.
Source: Ensembl
GCUGGGCGUGGUGGCGCACACCUGUAAUCCCAGCUACUUGGGAAGCUGAGGCAGAAGAAUCACUCGAACCCAGGAGGCGGAGAUCUAGGGAGCCAAGAUCGCACCACUGCACUCCAGCCUGGGCCACAGAGUGAGACUCUGUCUCAA